UAAUAUUAUUUUUAUUUUAAUCCUAUGUGAAAAAAUUGAAUUAUUUAUUUUAUUUUAUUAUGUCACAACAAUCAAUUAAGUAUAUAUCAAUUCCAUUGACAAUAUCAUGCAAAUGCGCCUUCUAUAUCAUUUCUUAUCUUAUCCCAAAGUCGCGAAAUAAACAAUUUUCC
Juglans microcarpa x Juglans regia is the source of this 170-nucleotide long non-coding RNA. RefSeq lists it as uncharacterized. Lineage: Eukaryota; Viridiplantae; Streptophyta; Magnoliopsida; Fagales; Juglandaceae. The transcript is spliced from 3 exons. The record is from RefSeq and is a predicted model, not a curated record.